This 465-nucleotide ribosomal RNA is filed under the name Vreelandella stevensii. RNAcentral describes it as "partial 16S ribosomal RNA". It matches the Rfam family "Bacterial small subunit ribosomal RNA", at positions 338 to 795 of the family's 1533-position model. Lineage: Bacteria; Pseudomonadati; Pseudomonadota; Gammaproteobacteria; Oceanospirillales; Halomonadaceae. The record is from RNAcentral.
CCUACGGGGGGCAGCAGUGGGGAAUAUUGGACAAUGGGGGGAACCCUGAUCCAGCCAUGCCGCGUGUGUGAAGAAGGUCCUCGGGUUGUAAAGCACUUUCAGUGAGGAAGAACGCCUGGUGGUUAAUACCCAUCAGGAAAGACAUCACUCACAGAAGAAGCACCGGCUAACUCCGUGCCAGCAGCCGCGGUAAUACGGAGGGUGCGAGCGUUAAUCGGAAUUACUGGGCGUAAAGCGCGCGUAGGUGGCUUGAUAAGCCGGUUGUGAAAGCCCCGGGCUCAACCUGGGAACGGCAUCCGGAACUGUCAAGCUAGAGUGCAGGAGAGGAAGGUAGAAUUCCCGGUGUAGCGGUGAAAUGCGUAGAGAUCGGGAGGAAUACCAGUGGCGAAGGCGGCCUUCUGGACUGACACUGACACUGAGGUGCGAAAGCGUGGGUAGCAAACAGGAUUAGAUACCCCAGUAGUC